UUAAAAAGCAGGCAAACCUUCCGAAAGGGAGGGACGCAAAGCCGUGGGUCUAAGGAUAUAUUAAUCUAAGACUGCCAGGUUACAUUU
This 87-nucleotide non-coding RNA is filed under the name Pelosinus sp. UFO1. RNAcentral's name for it is "c-di-GMP-I riboswitch aptamer". It matches the Rfam family "c-di-GMP-I riboswitch aptamer". Rfam says of the family: GEMM was predicted in a large-scale screen for bacterial structured RNA regulatory elements. Genes associated with GEMM are involved in a diverse array of functions, including chemotaxis regulation, signal transduction, secretion and chitin. RNAcentral also lists the same sequence under 1 other name. The record is from Rfam by way of RNAcentral. Lineage: Bacteria; Bacillati; Bacillota; Negativicutes; Selenomonadales; Sporomusaceae.